UGGGUGAUAUCCAACAUAAGUCAUACUCAGAGUAGACCAAUUGAAAUCGUAGAUUUCACAGAGUCUACUCUGAGUAUGACAGAUAUUGGCUAUCGCCCU
This is a non-coding RNA of Podarcis lilfordi (Lilford's wall lizard), 99 nucleotides long. The record is from the annotation of a GenBank genome assembly. Lineage: Eukaryota; Metazoa; Chordata; Lepidosauria; Squamata; Lacertidae.